RNAcentral lists this non-coding RNA (47 nucleotides) under Schistosoma mansoni. The record is from RNAcentral. Lineage: Eukaryota; Metazoa; Platyhelminthes; Trematoda; Strigeidida; Schistosomatidae.
GCACUGCUGAGGAGUCCCGGAAAUAGAACGAAAUGGCCAUCCAGUGC